GUGUCAGCAGCCGCGGUAAUACGAAGGGGGCUAGCGUUGCUCGGAAUCACUGGGCGUAAAGGGUGCGUAGGCGGGUUUCUAAGUCAGAGGGGAAAGCCUGGAGCUCAACUCCAGAACUGCCUUUGAUACUGGAAGUCUUGAGUAUGGCAGAGGUGAGUGGAACUGCGAGUGUAGAGGGUAAAUUAGAAGAUAUUCGCAAGAACACCAGUGGCGAAGGCGGCUCAAUGGGCCAUUACUGACGCUGAGGCACGAAAGCGUGGG
RNAcentral lists this ribosomal RNA (261 nucleotides) under uncultured bacterium. Its description in RNAcentral is "partial 16S rRNA". It matches the Rfam family "Bacterial small subunit ribosomal RNA", at positions 505 to 765 of the family's 1533-position model. The record is from RNAcentral.